Cricetulus griseus (Chinese hamster) is the source of this 1243-nucleotide non-coding RNA. NCBI's taxonomy places the organism in Eukaryota, Metazoa, Chordata, Mammalia, Rodentia, Cricetidae. The record is from RefSeq and is a predicted model, not a curated record.
GACCUCUGGAAGGGCAGUCGGUGCUCUUAACCACUGAGCCAUCUCUCCAGCCCCCAGUGGUUCCUAUUUGAGAUCCUGCCCUGAUUUCCAUCAAAUGGUGAACUUGGUUGUAGAAGUACAAGCAAAAGAAGUCCUUUCCUUCCCAAGCUACUUUUGGCUUUAUUGCAGCAAUAUAAUGCAAACUUAGGACAACCACAAAUUUGGUCACUCUGGGCACACAGAAGAAACCAUGAAGGGGACAAGUUCCUACUAGACACCAAGUCUAGUGCCUUGAUCUUAGACAUCCAACCGCCAAAACUGGGAGCUGUUCAAAAGUGCUAGGACUGUUCCACACCACAGGCCUCCUGGUGCAGCACACAUGCCAGGGCAAAAGAUGAGGGCACUGCUGUUAUGUGUGGCCUGGGGACACUGAGCUCAGUAAACCAGGUAAGACCUGGUCUUCUGGAGACAGGUUUGAUUUGGUCUGGCAGUUUUGUCUCAUUAGAUUCAUCUCAGUGGGCUAUGAAGCAGAGGGACGUGGAUCUCACUGACAACCCAUAAAAGCUCAGCUGGCCGAUCUUUACAACAGAGCUGAAAAGCCCUUUUUAGAGGCAGAAAACUGUUUCUAGCCUCCUUUGUAGUUACUACAUUCUAAAACCUAGGAAAUCUGUGGGGCCUGCUUCCCUAGACCUCAGAAGGGCCCAGGAUCCUCCAAGAUGCUCAGAAAGUAUGUGGCUGAAUAAACAAAGAAGUCUAUAUCUGUAGUAGCAGCCAUGAGUCCAAUCCCAUUUGCAGGACACAGGUUGCUUCUCUGCAUACUGACUAAAGAGAGCUGACUCUCAGGUAUCUAAAGAUGGAUGUCUGGGAUGUACUUUAUGGUCCUGAUCUUGAUCUGGAAAAGGUGGCUUACCUGCCCUCAAGAGGUCCACUUUCUGCAGGUUGGGAGGCAUGUGCUUUAAGGCAACAUUUUUAAGAUGGGUCUCUGUGUGAUCCAUAUACCUGGAACAAAGAAAGUCAAACGGCUGUAGUGUACAUCAACAGGAGCCACCAGAGCUACCAUGCUGAGCACUGUGGACAAAGCCCAUGCUGGAAGGCAAGCGCAGAAGCAGUUCCAAUUUCCUCACUUACUCUUUGACAAAGACAAACUCCUCUGGAGAAAGGACGGAAGGCUCCCCCGCAGGGCGCAUUUUCUCCUUUUCUAGGAUGUGAGGGAAAAACUUCUCUAUCUGUGAAGAUAAAUAAUAAAAAUGAAAAUUGAUCAUUC